Molecule: ribosomal RNA, 386 nt
Filed under: uncultured bacterium
Lineage: Bacteria
Description: bacterial SSU rRNA
Rfam family: Bacterial small subunit ribosomal RNA
Source: RNAcentral
AUUGAACGCUGGCGGCAUGCCUUACACAUGCAAGUCGAACGGCAGCGGGGACUUCGGUCCGCCGGCGAGUGGCGAACGGGUGAGUAAUGUAUCGGAACGUACCUUUCAGUGGGGGAUAACGUAGCGAAAGUUACGCUAAUACCGCAUAUUCUGUGCGCAGGAAAGCAGGGGAUCGCAAGACCUUGCGCUGAUUGAGCGGCCGAUAUCAGAUUAGCUAGUUGGUGGGGUAAAGGCCUACCAAGGCGACGAUCUGUAGCGGGUCUGAGAGGAUGAUCCGCCACACUGGAACUGAGACACGGUCCAGACUCCUACGGGAGGCAGCAGUGGGGAAUUUUGGACAAUGGGCGCAAGCCUGAUCCAGCCAUGCCGCGUGAGUGAAGAAGGCC